RNAcentral lists this small RNA (55 nucleotides) under Vulpes vulpes (red fox). Its description in RNAcentral is "FTX transcript, XIST regulator conserved region 1 (ENSVVUG00000015781.1)". It matches the Rfam family "FTX transcript, XIST regulator conserved region 1", at positions 19 to 71 of the family's 71-position model. The record is from RNAcentral. Lineage: Eukaryota; Metazoa; Chordata; Mammalia; Carnivora; Canidae.
ACUUAUCCAGAUCACAUUUUUGGAUAUCACUGGAAGUAUUAAUUCCUCCUAUCCC